UACGUAGGGUGCGAGCGUUGCCCGGAUUCAUUGGGCGUAAAGCGCGCGCAGGCGGAUGCACGCGUCCCGCGUGAAAUCGCCCGGCUCAACCGGGCGGGGUCGCGGGAUACGGUGCGUCUGGAGCACGGGAGGGGGCAGUGGAAUUCCCGGUGUAGUGGUGGAAUGCGUAGAGAUCGGGAGGAACACCAGUGGCGAAGGCGACUGCCUGGACCGUGGCUGACGCUGAGGCGCGAAAGCGUGGGGAGCAAACGGG
RNAcentral lists this ribosomal RNA (253 nucleotides) under uncultured bacterium. RNAcentral's name for it is "partial 16S ribosomal RNA". It matches the Rfam family "Bacterial small subunit ribosomal RNA", at positions 524 to 776 of the family's 1533-position model. The record is from RNAcentral.